Molecule: long non-coding RNA, 275 nt
Organism: Sinocyclocheilus anshuiensis
Lineage: Eukaryota; Metazoa; Chordata; Actinopteri; Cypriniformes; Cyprinidae
Exons: 3
Source: RefSeq, a predicted model, not a curated record
GCUACACAGGUGACGGAACCAUUUUGGACUGAUUCGCUGGAAUAAAUCUGACUUUACGACGCUACAUGUGUGAAAAAGACAGAGGGGGGUUCGUUUAGGUCUGACGGGGUAAAUGAAGUCUCACUUCUACAGAAAAAAACACCAGAGUAGGAGGAUGUAACGGCGCUGAGAUUUUUGGUGAAGCGUUUCAGCAAAGUGAGAACGAAGAGGUGCAGAGCUCAUCGCUUCGAUUGUCAUGGAUCCUUGGAUGGAAAAACAGAUUAAUAUGCAUUAAA